CUGGCUCAGAACGAACGGCUGGCGGCGAUGGAUUAGGCAUGCAAGUCGAACGGUGUAGCAAUACACAGUGGCGGAAGGGUGAGGAACACGUGAAUAAUCUGCCCUCAAGUUGGGAAUAACUUUCCGAAAGGAAAGCUAAUACCGAAUGUGGUUGUUUUAUCGCAUGAUAGGACAACUAAAGAUUUAUCGCUUGAGGAUGAGUUCGCGUCCCAUUAGCUAGUUGGCGGGGUAACGGCCCACCAAGGCAGAGAUGGGUAGCUGGUCUGAGAGGAUGAUCAGCCACACUGGGACUGAGACACUGCCCAGACUCCUACGGGAGGCUGCAGUCGAGAAUCUUUUGCAAUGCGCGAAAGCGUGACAAAGCAAUGCCGCGUGCCGGAUGAAGGUCUUCGGAUUGUAAACGGCUGUCACUCGGGACGAAAAAUGACGGUACCGAGGGAGGAAGCCACGGCUAACUACGUGCCAGCCGCCGC
This 473-nucleotide ribosomal RNA is filed under the name uncultured bacterium. RNAcentral's name for it is "bacterial SSU rRNA". It matches the Rfam family "Bacterial small subunit ribosomal RNA", at positions 19 to 518 of the family's 1533-position model. The record is from RNAcentral.